UAACGCGUGGGUAACCUGCCUCAUACAGGGGGAUAACAGUUAGAAAUGACUGCUAAUACCGCAUGAGCGCACAGUGCUGCAUGGCACAGUGUGAAAAACUCCGGUGGUAUGUGAUGGACCCGCGUCUGAUUAGCUAGUUGGUGGGGUAACGGCCUACCAAGGCGACGAUCAGUAGCCGACCUGAGAGGGUGACCGGCCACAUUGGGACUGAGACACGGCCCAA
This 223-nucleotide ribosomal RNA is filed under the name uncultured bacterium. RNAcentral describes it as "partial 16S ribosomal RNA". It matches the Rfam family "Bacterial small subunit ribosomal RNA", at positions 111 to 334 of the family's 1533-position model. The record is from RNAcentral.